GCCGGGGAGAUAGCGGUGCCCUGUACCUGCAAUCCGCUCUAGCAGGGGUGAUAUCUUGCCUCGCACAUUUUUCUGCAGAGCUGCCUUUUGUAAGUGGCGUUGAUGUCUGGGUCUUGCGCAACAGAAAUCUGUGAACCGUGUCAGGGCAGGAAUGCAGCAGCACUAAGCAGAACCUUUUGUGUGCCGCAAGGCAGCCUGGGCUGAGUUAACUGCUUGAGUAACGUCUGUGGUUG
This 233-nucleotide signal recognition particle RNA is filed under the name human gut metagenome. RNAcentral's name for it is "Bacterial large signal recognition particle RNA". It matches the Rfam family "Bacterial large signal recognition particle RNA", at positions 9 to 236 of the family's 256-position model. From Rfam's summary of the family: The signal recognition particle (SRP) is a universally conserved ribonucleoprotein involved in the co-translational targeting of proteins to membranes. The record is from RNAcentral.